RNAcentral lists this long non-coding RNA (604 nucleotides) under Pan troglodytes (chimpanzee). RNAcentral's name for it is "long non-coding RNA NONPTRT013567". Lineage: Eukaryota; Metazoa; Chordata; Mammalia; Primates; Hominidae. The record is from RNAcentral.
GGGUCUCUGCGCCCCCUGCCUACCCCACUUCCCCCUCCAGUUCUCAGCUUCUCUUUGAAGUCCGAGAAGUGAGGAUGCGCCUCGUGGAUCGCAGCGGGGGAGGAAAGGGGAGAAGAGGGGAGUCAAGAUCUUGCUGUAUUGCCGAGGCUGGACUCAAACUCCUGGGCUCAAGUGAUUCUCCUGCCUCAGUCUCCUGAGUAGCUAAGACUACAGGCAUGUACCUCCAUGCCUAGCCCCUCUUACUGUUAAUUAUUGUCAUAUAACCACCCAUAAUGUCGCUUCUCACUUUCUGAAUUAUUGCUCUCCCCAUGUUGUAGCCUCUGAACCCGGAGAACCUUAUUUCUACAAUUAUGUGUAAAGUAAAAUCAGCGAAGUUCUUAAUGAGAAUCUCCCACCUGGUUAAAAUGUACAUGAUCUUUGUCACAUUUAUUUUGCCUCUUGCAGACUUCCUAGAUUCCAGCUAGGUCCCAGAAAAUGGAGAAGUUAUUAGAUGACCAAACUCUGGCUUCUGAGGGGUUAAUAUAGGAUGAUAAUUGACAUUCGUGAUGAUGAGUCCAAGAUGCCUACUGAAUCAUCAUGUGUAAAAUAAUAUUUACUGAACAUG